AGGAAGUGUAUGGAAGAAACAGGAAGACCGUGGCCUGAAUGUGUAGGCCUGGUAAAAAUGUGGAUGAGAUUAACACAAGGAUCUCAGAAGCUCACACCGCUUGAGAUCAUACAUGGUAGACCAUUUCCACUACCUAUAACGAGUGAACCUUUAACUAAAUCUUCUAGAGAAACCACAUUAGCAGAAUGGAUGGCUAAACUGCUAGAAAACAAAGAAAUCGUUCUGAAUAAUAAACUGCCAGAGGACUUUUCUCCAGUGUCUUGCAGGACCAUACCAAGUGCUUUUAACCACGCCUACUGCAUGCAAGAUUUCUGAAAGACCAUCCUGGAUCCACCAAAGUCACUGUAAGAAAGUAAGUGAGAGCAUAGACUAACUAGACGCCGACGCCCCUGCCCUUUGGUGAUCCGAAAGGUGGAGGAAGGGCUGAUCGGGUACAUCCUGCCCUUUGCUUCUUGCCUUUGGUCUACUUAUCAGAGGGGUCAGGUGCGCCAGGUCACCAUGAAGCUGCUCCUGAUCUCACUGACCCUGGCAGUACUGGCAGCAGGAUGCUUCCUACUAUUCAAUAUGGACCAAAAGCAUCACCAGAAGAAAGCUUGGACGCAUGAUAACUCACACCACUACACAAUGACAUUUCCAAUGGCACCUAUUGGGUGCAGGGAAUGGCCUGGCUAUGUGUACAGCGGGCCUAUUUCACUCUCCCUAAGAAUUGGACGGGUAUGUGUGCUCCAAUCUUCAUAUCCGAUCACACAUUCAAGAUAAACACCGACAACCAAUCAUACGCAAGAAGGAAAAGGUCAACCAGCUUAUCAGCUCCAACAGCACAUGACCUAAUAUGGGGCUUUGACGUCCCACAGGAAUUCAAGCUUUGGACUACAGGACAGAAAGUGCUGCACUCACUCUUUCCGUGGGUGGGCACAGGAAAAAAUGUGCUGAGGUGGCUUUUAAGUGGCUCGUGGACUGUUUUGCUGUAUAAAGGUCUAAUAUUCAUAGGACUCUUACUUGUAUUAUUCUGUGUAUUCUCCACAUGUAUUCUCCCUUGUCUCAGGAAGAUGAUUUCUAAAAUGAUUUCCACAUCAUUGACAGCUUAUGUUACUGUACCAAUGGAUGACAAAAAUGAUCUGAGUAACAGUGAAGAUAACUUUGAGACGAAGAUGUUUAUGUGUGAGAAGAAAAUCUUACAGACGACCUGUAAAGCUAGAUUGCAAUAUAAGUAACACAUAAUGAUGACAUGUUUGAAAAUGCUAGGAGCAAGAGAACAUGUUCUGAAACAAAGUGUGAAACGUGUUUAAAUGAGCUAAAACAGGAGGGAAUGUUAAAGGAUUUUUAUAUGUAUUCUGCUUUAUUGUAGUUAAAAA
Molecule: long non-coding RNA, 1355 nt
Organism: Oreochromis aureus
Lineage: Eukaryota; Metazoa; Chordata; Actinopteri; Cichliformes; Cichlidae
Source: Ensembl